This 489-nucleotide ribosomal RNA is filed under the name uncultured bacterium. Its description in RNAcentral is "partial 16S ribosomal RNA". It matches the Rfam family "Bacterial small subunit ribosomal RNA", at positions 30 to 507 of the family's 1533-position model. The record is from RNAcentral.
UUGAACGCUGGCGGCAGGCCUAACACCUGCCAGUCGAACGGUAACAGGAAGAAGCUUGCUUCUUUGCUGACGAGUGGCGGACGGGUGAGUAAUGUCUGGGAAACUGCCUGAUGGAGGGGGAUAACUACUGGAAACGGUAGCUAAUACCGCAUAACGUCGCAAAACCAAAGAGGGGGACCUUCGGGCCUCUUGCCAUCGGACGUGCCCAGAUGGGAUUAGCUAGUAGGUGGGGUAACGGCUCACCUAGGCGACGAUCCCUAGCUGGUCUGAGAGGAUGACCAGCCACACUGGAACUGAGACACGGUCCAGACUCCUACGGGAGGCAGCAGUGGGGAAUAUUGCACAAUGGGCGCAAGCCUGAUGCAGCCAUGCCGCGUGUAUGAAGAAGGCCUUCGGGUUGUAAAGUACUUUCAGCGGGGAGGAAGGGAGUAAGGUUAAUACCUUUGCUCAUUGACGUUACCCGCAGAAGAAGCACCGGCUAACUCCGUG